GACAGAGGGUGCUAGCGUUGUUCGGAAUUACUGGGCGUAAAGCGUGCGCAGGCGGUUUUGUAAGCCAGAUGUGAAAGCCCCGGGCUCAACCUGGGAAUGGCAUUUGGGACUGCAAGGCUUGAGUGCGGCAGAGGAGACUGGAAUUCCUGGUGUAGCAGUGAAAUGCGUAGAUAUCAGGAGGAAUACCGAUGGCGAAGGCAGGUCUCUGGGCUGACACUGACGCUCAUGCACGAAAGCGUGGGGAGCAAACAGG
This 253-nucleotide ribosomal RNA is filed under the name uncultured bacterium. RNAcentral's name for it is "partial 16S ribosomal RNA". It matches the Rfam family "Bacterial small subunit ribosomal RNA", at positions 524 to 776 of the family's 1533-position model. The record is from RNAcentral.